This 76-nucleotide transfer RNA is filed under the name Erysipelotrichaceae bacterium. RNAcentral describes it as "tRNA-Glu". It matches the Rfam family "tRNA". From Rfam's summary of the family: Transfer RNA (tRNA) molecules are approximately 80 nucleotides in length. Their secondary structure includes four short double-helical elements and three loops (D, anti-codon, and T loops). Further hydrogen bonds mediate the characteristic L-shaped molecular structure. tRNAs have two regions of fundamental functional importance: the anti-codon, which is responsible for specific mRNA codon recognition, and the 3' end, to which the tRNAs corresponding amino acid is attached (by aminoacyl-tRNA synthetases). tRNAs cope with the degeneracy of the genetic code in two manners: having more than one tRNA (with a specific anti-codon) for a particular amino acid; and 'wobble' base-pairing, i.e. permitting non-standard base-pairing at the 3rd anti-codon position. The record is from RNAcentral. Lineage: Bacteria; Bacillati; Bacillota; Erysipelotrichia; Erysipelotrichales; Erysipelotrichaceae.
GGCCCGUUGGAGAAACGGUCAACUCAUUUGCCUUUCACGCAAACAUUCACGGGUUCGAAUCCCGUACGGGUCACCA